AUUAUAUAUAAACAUUUAAAUAUAUAAGUAACUUUAAAAAUAUAUUCUAAUUAUGUAAAAAUAUAUAUAAACAUGAAAAUUAAUACCCGCACGGUUGUGUGGGUCCAAAUCUAGUAUUUAUUGUUAUAAUAGUAACUGAUAUAUGACUAAAUCAUAUGUCUCCAUUUAGGACGAUAGAGUAACUAAAUGUUCGUGACAAAUUCAUAUAAAAGAAGGCAAACAAAAAUAUUUCUAGACCCCAAAUGAAUUUUUAAACCCUAAACACUUAACACAAAUCUCAAAACUCUAAUAUUUUCAUAUUUUAACCUCACAUCUUAAAUUUAAAUAUAAAAUUUAGUAUUUUCAAAACUUUUUCUCAUAUUCUGAAAGUAAACCUCAAACACCCAAUCCGUAAGUCACAAAAAAUAAACCUUAACCUUUACAUAAAGUUUCAAAAUUACUAUAAUACACCUAAACUAAUAUCCAAUAUUUAUAAAAAAAAUUAUUUUUUCAAAUCUUAUUUAAAAACCUUAACUUCGUAUUUAAAUUUAAAGUCCAAAACCCUUUUCUUCAAACUCCAAAACCUAUAUCAUAAAUUUUAUCUCUAAAUUUGUUUUUUUUUUCAUUUUUAGAACUAUACAUAUGUGUACUUUAAAUGAAUUAACUUAUAAUUCUAAUCAAACUUAUAAUAAACAUUAAAAAAUUAAAGAAAGAUCAGAAACAAAAAAUUCUAUCGUAAGUUUCAAAAAAAAAACAAAAAUUCUAUCGUUGUAUAGAAGAGAUGUAAUCAACAGUUCUAUUGCUGUACAACCAAAAUAAAACUUGCCCCGUCAAAAAAAAAGAAAUUUUCCUAUUGGCUAAUUCAUAAGCACAAGAAUCAAGUUUUGACCGUCGGAUGAGACUAAAUCAACGGACCAAAGUUAUUAAUUUUUCAGAUCUGCAUAUCUUUUUUUUUUACCAAACAGAUCUGCAUAUCUCUGGACAGAUUCUCUUAUUUGAUUUCAUCUUCUAAUCUCUUAAUUCUUAAGAUUUCUUCACUGCUAGCCUCUUCAUUCUCUUAACGAUCUCUGCUCCCAUAUCUCUUCAGCUUCGCUACCGUCUCUGUCAAUGGUCGUUGUAAGAAGGGAAUCCUCCUUCUCCUUUUUAAGAUCUACAAAUUAAUUACUUUCUCAUUAUCUCCCUUUUGUGUAGCUUUGAUUUUGGUCCAUGUUAAAGAAUCGAAGGAGUGAAUGAGAACCAGAGGAGGAAGGAGUGAGAAGGAAGAAAUUGAGAAGGAUGAACCAGCAUGAGAGGUGGAGACAUGAAGGUUUUCCGGUGUACCGUCACAGCGUCCGUUGUCGCUCCGGCAUGACUGUUCAGAUUAUUUAAGAAGAAAGACGAGGAAGAAGAAGAGUAGGAGGAGACGUAAGAAGAGUGGUUUCUCCUGAUGUCUACUUGUUCACUGCAGCGAUUAACGCAUUUUGCAAGGGAGGGAUGGAAUGAGGAUGAGUGGGAGGUAUGAUGAGGCAUUUAUGUGUAAGGAGCUAUGGCUUUGGAGACAUAGCGUUGAGUUGCUGAGAAGAUGCAUGCUAAUCAAUUAGGUUUAGUUUUUUUUUAAAUUUGGUUUAGUUUUAUAAACCAAUUUUAAUCUGUAAGUUGGUUCGACCAAAAAGUAUUUGUAAGUUGGUUUUAAUUUAUAAACCAAAUUAGUAAAUCAAUUUUAUUUUGUA
Molecule: long non-coding RNA, 1688 nt
Organism: Brassica napus (rape)
Lineage: Eukaryota; Viridiplantae; Streptophyta; Magnoliopsida; Brassicales; Brassicaceae
Exons: 2
Source: RefSeq, a predicted model, not a curated record